UUGCAGAUGAAAAUACUUUUCACGUUUAUUGCUUUCACAAACAGUAUCGUGUCUUCAUAAACAUGUUCCUACGAGUUCAUCUUUAUAAAUUUCUUGGAAAAAAGUUUAAGAAUUUCUAACGUUAAAUAUUAUAUAUAUAUAUAUAUAUUAAAAUAUU
This is a long non-coding RNA of Frieseomelitta varia, 157 nucleotides long. RefSeq lists it as uncharacterized. The transcript is spliced from 3 exons. The record is from RefSeq and is a predicted model, not a curated record. NCBI's taxonomy places the organism in Eukaryota, Metazoa, Arthropoda, Insecta, Hymenoptera, Apidae.